UACAGAGGUCUCGAGCGUUGUUCGGAUUCAUUGGGCGUAAAGGGUGCGUAGGUGGCGCUGUAAGUCGGGUGUGAAAUCCUGGGGCUUAACCCCGGAACUGCAUUCGAUACUGCAGUGCUUGAGGACUGGAGAGGAGACUGGAAUUCCCAGUGUAGCGGUGAAAUGCGUAGAUAUUGGGAGGAACACCGGUGGCGAAGGCGGCUCUCUGGACCGGUACUGACGCUGAGACGCGAAAGCCAGGGGAGCAAACGGG
Molecule: ribosomal RNA, 253 nt
Filed under: uncultured prokaryote
Description: partial 16S ribosomal RNA
Rfam family: Bacterial small subunit ribosomal RNA
Source: RNAcentral